This 301-nucleotide ribosomal RNA is filed under the name Mantidactylus melanopleura. RNAcentral's name for it is "partial 16S ribosomal RNA". It matches the Rfam family "Bacterial large subunit ribosomal RNA", at positions 2236 to 2597 of the family's 2925-position model. The record is from RNAcentral. Lineage: Eukaryota; Metazoa; Chordata; Amphibia; Anura; Mantellidae.
CCCCACAACCCCCCUAGGCGCCGUGUGCUUGGUUUUAGGUUGGGGCGACCGCGGAGUACAAUAAAACCUCCACAAUGAAUGGGAACACCCCCUUAUCUGAGGGCCACACCCCCUAAGAAUUAGAACACUAACAUAAAAUGAUCCAUUACUUGAUCAAUGAACCAAGUUACCCUGGGGAUAACAGCGCAAUCCAUUUCAAGAGCCCCUAUCGACAAAUGGGUUUACGACCUCGAUGUUGGAUCAGGGUACCCCAGUGGUGCAGCAGCUACUAACGGUUCGUUUGUUCAACGAUUAAAACCCU